This 492-nucleotide ribosomal RNA is filed under the name uncultured bacterium. RNAcentral describes it as "partial 16S ribosomal RNA". It matches the Rfam family "Bacterial small subunit ribosomal RNA", at positions 29 to 507 of the family's 1533-position model. The record is from RNAcentral.
AGUGAACGCUGGCGGUAGGCCUAACACAUGCAAGUCGAACGGCAGCACAGUAAGAGCUUGCUCUUACGGGUGGCGAGUGGCGGAUGGGUGAGGAAUACAUCGCAAUCUACUUUUUCGUGGGGGAUAACGUAGGGAAACUUACGCUAAUACCGCAUACGACCUACGGGUGAAAGCAGCGGAUCUUCGGACCUUGCGCGAUUGAAUGAGCCGAUGUCGGAUUAGCUAGUUGGCGGGGUACAGGCCCACCAAGGCGACGAUCCGUAGCUGGUCUGAGAGGAUGAUCAGCCACACUGGAACUGAGACACGGUCCAGACUCCUACGGGAGGCAGCAGUGGGGAAUAUUGGACAAUGGGCGCAAGCCUGAUCCAGCCAUACCGCGUGGGUGAAGAAGGCCUUCGGGUUGUAAAGCCCUUUUGUUGGGAAAGAAAAGCAGCAGGUUAAUACCCCGCUGUUCUGACGGUACCCAAAGAAUAAGCACCGGCUAACUUCGUG